UCGCCUACAUGAAGCUGGAGUUACUAGUAAUCGCAGAUCAGAAUGCUGCGGUGAAUGCGUUCCCGGGUCUUGUACACACCGCCCGUCACACCACGGAAGUUGGGGGCGCCCGAAGCCACUUAGCUAACCCUUUUGGGAAGCGAGUGUCGAAGGUGAAAUCAAUAACUGGGGUGAAGUCGUAACAAGGUAGC
RNAcentral lists this ribosomal RNA (191 nucleotides) under uncultured bacterium. Its description in RNAcentral is "partial 16S ribosomal RNA". It matches the Rfam family "Bacterial small subunit ribosomal RNA", at positions 1312 to 1500 of the family's 1533-position model. The record is from RNAcentral.